AACGAACGCUGGCGGCAGGCUUAACACAUGCAAGUCGAACGCACCUUUCGGGGUGAGUGGCAGACGGGUGAGUAACGCGUGGGAAUCUACCCUUCUCUACGGGAUAGCUCCGGGAAACUGGAAUUAAUACCGUAUACGUCCUGAGGGAGAAAGAUUUAUCGGGGAAGGAUGAGCCCGCGUUGGAUUAGCUAGUUGGUGGGGUAAAGGCCUACCAAGGCGACGAUCCAUAGCUGGUCUAAGAGGAUGAUCAGCCACAUUGGGACUGAGACACGGCCCAAACUCCUACGGGAGGCAGCAGUGGGGAAUAUUGGACAAUGGGCGCAAGCCUGAUCCAGCCAUGCCGCGUGAGUGAUGAAGGCCCUAGGGUUGUAAAGCUCUUUCAGUGGGGACGAUAAUGACGGUACCCACAGAAGAAGCCCCGGCUAACUUCGUGCCAGCCGCCGCGGUAA
RNAcentral lists this ribosomal RNA (449 nucleotides) under uncultured bacterium. RNAcentral describes it as "partial 16S ribosomal RNA". It matches the Rfam family "Bacterial small subunit ribosomal RNA", at positions 29 to 523 of the family's 1533-position model. The record is from RNAcentral.